This 76-nucleotide transfer RNA is filed under the name Eubacteriales Family XIII. Incertae Sedis bacterium. RNAcentral's name for it is "tRNA-Lys". It matches the Rfam family "tRNA". Rfam says of the family: Transfer RNA (tRNA) molecules are approximately 80 nucleotides in length. Their secondary structure includes four short double-helical elements and three loops (D, anti-codon, and T loops). Lineage: Bacteria; Bacillati; Bacillota; Clostridia; Peptostreptococcales; Anaerovoracaceae. The record is from RNAcentral.
GCUCGCUUAGCUCAGCUGGUAGAGCACCUGACUCUUAAUCAGGGUGUCCAGGGUUCGAAACCCUGAGCGAGUACCA